UACAGGGGGUGCAAACGUUGCUCGGAAUUAUUGGGCGUAAAGCGCGCGUAGGCGGCCGCUUAAGUCGGAUGUGAAAGCCCCUGGCUCAACUGGGGAAGUGCACCCGAAACUGAGUGGCUUGAGUACUAAAGAGGGUCGCGGAAUUCCCGGUGUAGAGGUGAAAUUCGUAGAUAUCGGGAGGAACACCGGUGGCGAAGGCGGCGACCUGGGUAGAUACUGACACUCAACUACGAAAGCGUGGGGAGCAAACAGG
Molecule: ribosomal RNA, 253 nt
Filed under: uncultured bacterium
Lineage: Bacteria
Description: partial 16S ribosomal RNA
Rfam family: Bacterial small subunit ribosomal RNA
Source: RNAcentral